AAACUCCCACGCCGAAAGACCAAGGUUUCCUGCGCAACGUUAAUCGACGCAGGGUUAGUCGGUCCCUAAGGCGAGGCUGAAAAGCGUAGUCGAUGGAAAACAGGUUAAUAUUCCUGUACUUCUGGUUAUUGCGAUGGAGGGACGGAGAAGGCUAGGCCAGCUUGGCGUUGGUUGUCCAAGUUUAAGGUGGUAGGCUUAAAUCUUAGGUAAAUCCGGGAUUUUUUAAGGCCGAGAGCUGAUGACGAGUUAUCUUUUAGAUGACGAAGUGGUCGAUGCCAUGCUUCCAGGAAAAGCUUCUAAGCUUCAGGUAACUAGGAACCGUACCCCAAACCGACACAGGUGGUUGGGUAGAGAAUACCAAGGCGCUUGAGAGAACUCGGGUGAAGGAACUAGGCAAAAUGGCACCGUAACUUCGGGAGAAGGUGCGCCGGUGAGGGUGAAGUAUUUACUACGUAAGCCCAUGCCGGUCGAAGAUACCAGGCCGCUGCGACUGUUUAUUAAAAACACAGCACUCUGCAAACACGAAAGUGGACGUAUAGGGUGUGACGCCUGCCCGGUGCUGGAAGAUUAAAUGAUGGGGUGCAAGCUCUUGAUCGAAGUCCCGGUAAACGGCGGCCGUAACUAUAACGGUCCUAAGGUAGCGAAAUUCCUUGUCGGGUAAGUUCCGACCUGCACGAAUGGCGUAACGAUGGCCACACUGUCUCCACCCGAGACUCAGUGAAAUUGAAAUCGCUGUGAAGAUGCAGUGUAUCCGCGGCUAGACGGAAAGACCCCGUGAACCUUUACUAUAGCUUUGCACUGGACUUUGAAUUUGCUUGUGUAGGAUAGGUGGGAGGCUUUGAAGCGUGGACGCCAGUUCGCGUGGAGCCAACCUUGAAAUACCACCCUGGCAACUUUGAGGUUCUAACUCAGGUCCGUUAUCCGGAUCGAGGACAGUGUAUGGUGGGUAGUUUGACUGGGGCGGUCUCCUCCUAAAGAGUAACGGAGGAGUACGAAGGUGCGCUCAGACCGGUCGGAAAUCGGUCGUAGAGUAUAAAGGCAAAAGCGCGCUUGACUGCGAGACAGACACGUCGAGCAGGUACGAAAGUAGGUCUUAGUGAUCCGGUGGUUCUGUAUGGAAGGGCCAUCGCUCAACGGAUAAAAGGUACUCCGGGGAUAACAGGCUGAUACCGCCCAAGAGUUCAUAUCGACGGCGGUGUUUGGCACCUCGAUGUCGGCUCAUCACAUCCUGGGGCUGAAGCCGGUCCCAAGGGUAUGGCUGUUCGCCAUUUAAAGUGGUACGCGAGCUGGGUUUAGAACGUCGUGAGACAGUUCGGUCCCUAUCUGCCGUGGACGUUUGAGAUUUGAGAGGGGCUGCUCCUAGUACGAGAGGACCGGAGUGGACGAACCUCUGGUGUUCCGGUUGUCACGCCAGUGGCAUUGCCGGGUAGCUAUGUUCGGGAAAGAUAACCGCUGAAAGCAUCUAAGCGGGAAACUUGCCUCGAGAUGAGAUCUCACUGGAACCUUGAGUUCCCUAAAGGGCCGUCGAAGACUACGACGUUGAUAGGUUGGGUGUGUAAGCGCUGUGAGGCGUUGAGCUAACCAAUACUAAUUGCCCGUGAGGCUUGACC
RNAcentral lists this ribosomal RNA (1610 nucleotides) under marine metagenome. RNAcentral's name for it is "bacterial LSU rRNA". It matches the Rfam family "Bacterial large subunit ribosomal RNA", at positions 1326 to 2925 of the family's 2925-position model. The record is from RNAcentral.